Molecule: ribosomal RNA, 483 nt
Filed under: uncultured bacterium
Lineage: Bacteria
Description: bacterial SSU rRNA
Rfam family: Bacterial small subunit ribosomal RNA
Source: RNAcentral
AUUGAACGCUGGCGGCAUGCCUUACACAUGCAAGUCGAACGGCAGCACGGGAGCAAUCCUGGUGGCGAGUGGCGAACGGGUGAGUAAUAUAUCGGAACGUGCCCAGUCGUGGGGGAUAACGUAGCGAAAGCUACGCUAAUACCGCAUACGAUCUAUGGAUGAAAGCGGGGGAUCGCAAGACCUCGCGCGAUUGGAGCGGCCGAUAUCAGAUUAGGUAGUUGGUGAGGUAAAGGCUCACCAAGCCGACGAUCUGUAGCUGGUCUGAGAGGACGACCAGCCACACUGGGACUGAGACACGGCCCAGACUCCUACGGGAGGCAGCAGUGGGAAUUUUGGACAAUGGGCGCAAGCCUGAUCCAGCAAUGCCGCGUGCAGGAUGAAGGCCUUCGGGUUGUAAACUGCUUUGUACGGAACGAAACGGUGAGCUCUAAUACAGUUUUGCUAAUGACGGUACCGUAAGAAUAAGCACCGGCUAACUACGUG